This 253-nucleotide ribosomal RNA is filed under the name uncultured bacterium. Its description in RNAcentral is "partial 16S ribosomal RNA". It matches the Rfam family "Bacterial small subunit ribosomal RNA", at positions 524 to 776 of the family's 1533-position model. The record is from RNAcentral.
GACGUAGGGCGCGAGCGCUGUCCGGAUUUAUUGGGCGUAAAGAGCUCGUAGGCGGCUUGUCGCGUCGACUGUGAAAACCCGAGGCUCAACUUCGGGCUUGCAGUCGAUACGGGCAGGCUAGAGUUCGGUAGGGGAGACUGGAAUUCCUGGUGUAGCGGUGAAAUGCGCAGAUAUCAGGAGGAACACCGGUGGCGAAGGCGGGUCUCUGGGCCGAUACUGACGCUGAGGAGCGAAAGCGUGGGGAGCGAACAGG